GACUCGGUGGUGGAUGGUCCACACUCGCGUGUCCUGGUGUUUAGAAUUUCGAAUUCCGUGAGAGAUUGCCCGUUCGAUUCGGGUCCGAGUCG
Molecule: non-coding RNA, 92 nt
Organism: Mycena polygramma
Lineage: Eukaryota; Fungi; Basidiomycota; Agaricomycetes; Agaricales; Mycenaceae
Source: the annotation of a GenBank genome assembly